AAGAGUACAAUGUCCCCACAGUGGAAAUGGCAGAACAAAGGCACCAAGCUCGAGUGUGCAGCUGUUAUUUGUUAACAAACAAAGAGCACAGUGACAUUGGAGUGACAAAGUCAAUAAUGAAAUAGCUAGAGAAAUGAGGUCACAGAUACAGGGUGAUCGUCGUGGAUCAAAACUUAAGUGUUUGAAAACUAAAUGAGGGACUUCCUCACCGAAGUUUGAGAUAAGCAAGGUUACUACUAAAGUCACAAAAUCUACUACAGAAGGGGCAGUAACUAGGAAGGGAGGAAUCUCGGGAAGAACCAUCGACCCCUACAACCUAGAAGCCGCUCUACAUCAUCAGACUCGGGCACCUGAUGCUCAAGAGUCCCAGGUACUUCAGGUCCAUCCAGAACUCUUUGUUUUGUAGCAUGGAAUUCAUCCUGAACCUUAUCACCACUAGAGGCCUUUUGCUCUCCCAAGAAACACUUAGAUGCUCCGUUUCCUCUGGGUACACUUCAUUUAACUACAUUGAAUCCUCUGGAAUUUGGAGCCCUUGUGAGGUGUUUACGCAUCACGCAGGUCUCCAUCAGCCACCUUUAGCAGGCUACAGCAACUUUAGCAGGUGCUGCAGCCUCUGCCCCUGUGGUGACAACUAAUCAUUCCAUUGGACUAAAACGAUAUACUUUAAAAAACAAUGUCCUGGAAUUGCCGAGACUGCUCAUAUAAGGCCAUGAAGGUCUACACAGCAAAGAUUGCACAAUAACCCAUUAAAAUAAACAUUUGCAACCACA
Non-coding RNA from Rattus norvegicus (Norway rat), 770 nucleotides. NCBI's taxonomy places the organism in Eukaryota, Metazoa, Chordata, Mammalia, Rodentia, Muridae. The record is from RefSeq and is a predicted model, not a curated record.